This 524-nucleotide long non-coding RNA is filed under the name Piliocolobus tephrosceles (Ugandan red Colobus). RNAcentral describes it as "lncRNA (ENSPTEG00000028480.1)". The record is from RNAcentral. Lineage: Eukaryota; Metazoa; Chordata; Mammalia; Primates; Cercopithecidae.
GCGUAUCAAAGAAUGCUUGUAAAAAAACUAUACGUGAAGCAUAUUUAAAAAAAAGUAAAAAUAUAUCACCCAGAUUUAAAUAAAAGUCCAGAAGCUACAUCAAAAUUUAAACAACUUCAAGAAGCUUAUCAAGCUUUGUAUAAUAAUGAUUGUUCACAAAAAACAUACCAAAGUGAAAAUACAUCUAGUAGAAGUUACUAUUCGAAAAAUACACAGAACAAUCAGACUUAUGACCAGUCUGAUGAUUUUAACGAUUUUCAUCGAGCUUUUUAUGAAGAAGUUCGUAGAAUGAGAGAAAAUGAAAAGAAAGAACAAUAUAGAAGAUACGCAAAUAAUACGAACAGCUACACAUUCAAUGAUUUUGUCCAUAAAUAUGCUAGGGAAUACUUUUAUAUAAAUUUAAUUUUUAAAUUAUUUCCCCUGUUUGUAGUUCCUUUUUUAUUUUUUUUUGUUGUAUAUAAGCAUUACAUUUUGAAAGCACACUUGAGAGAAAAACCUGUACUCCUGUAUGAUUCUUAUGGUAA